This 73-nucleotide transfer RNA is filed under the name Cavia porcellus (domestic guinea pig). It matches the Rfam family "tRNA". Rfam says of the family: Transfer RNA (tRNA) molecules are approximately 80 nucleotides in length. Their secondary structure includes four short double-helical elements and three loops (D, anti-codon, and T loops). The record is from Rfam by way of RNAcentral. Lineage: Eukaryota; Metazoa; Chordata; Mammalia; Rodentia; Caviidae.
GCCCGACUAGCUCAGUUGGUAGAGCAUGAGACUCUUAAUCUCAGGGUUGUGGGUUCAAGCCCCACCUUGUGUC